AGUACAUAUACAAAAUGAAAAUAUACUUGAAAAUUCAAUUUAAAUUAACAUAUCCAGGUACUGGUCCUUCGAUAUUUAUCGACACCGUCGUUAGGCUUAUUGGCUCUGAAAGGGCCUUUUGUUACACUAACCGUGUUUGGUACAGGAUUGGCCGACGGGAAUCCGUUACUUUCCGUAGACCGUACGCCAAUUGCUAUUAUCGCCGUCACCAGCCAGGGACACCGCUUGGAGGUUCCUACGAUGCCUCCAAUAGGAGGAUAUAUUAUACAAUGUUCCCUCCUAUAUGAAAAAUAUAAAAUUAACUCUUCUUCACUGAGCUAUGUAUAUA
Non-coding RNA from Cinara cedri, 328 nucleotides. The record is from the annotation of a GenBank genome assembly. Lineage: Eukaryota; Metazoa; Arthropoda; Insecta; Hemiptera; Aphididae.